This 90-nucleotide transfer RNA is filed under the name Rhodothermus sp. RNAcentral describes it as "tRNA-Ser". It matches the Rfam family "tRNA". Rfam says of the family: Transfer RNA (tRNA) molecules are approximately 80 nucleotides in length. Their secondary structure includes four short double-helical elements and three loops (D, anti-codon, and T loops). The record is from RNAcentral. Lineage: Bacteria; Pseudomonadati; Rhodothermota; Rhodothermia; Rhodothermales; Rhodothermaceae.
GGAGAGGUGGGUGAGCGGUCGAAACCGGCGGUUUGCUAAACCGCUGUACCGCCAAAAGCGGUACCGAGGGUUCGAAUCCCUCCCUCUCCG